Molecule: ribosomal RNA, 298 nt
Filed under: uncultured bacterium
Lineage: Bacteria
Description: partial 16S ribosomal RNA
Rfam family: Bacterial small subunit ribosomal RNA
Source: RNAcentral
GGGGGACAACAGUUAGAAAUGACUGCUAAUACCGCAUAAGCGCACAGGACCGCAUGGUCCGGUGUGAAAAACUCCGGUGGUGUGAGAUGGACCCGCGUUUGAUUAGCUAGUUGGUGGGGUAACGGCCUACCAAGGCGACGAUCAAUAGCCGACCUGAGAGGGUAACCGGCCACAUUGGGACUGAGACACGGCCCAAACUCCUACGGGAGGCAGCAGUGGGGAAUAUUGCACAAUGGGGGAAACCCUGAUGCAGCGACGCCGCGUGAGUGAAGAAGUAUUUCGGUAUGUAAAGCUCUAU